GACGAACGCUGGCGGCGUGCUUAACACAUGCAAGUCGAACGGAAAGGCCCUGCUUUUGUGGGGUGCUCGAGUGGCGAACGGGUGAGUAACACGUGAGUAACCUGCCCUUGACUUUGGGAUAACUUCAGGAAACUGGGGCUAAUACCGGAUAGGAGCUCCUGCUGCAUGGUGGGGGUUGGAAAGUUUCGGCGGUUGGGGAUGGACUCGCGGCUUAUCAGCUUGUUGGUGGGGUAGUGGCUUACCAAGGCUUUGACGGGUAGCCGGCGUGAGAGGGUGACCGGCCACAUUGGGACUGAGAUACGGCCCAGACUCCUACGGGAGGCAGCAGUGGGGAAUAUUGCACAAUGGGCGGAAGCCUGAUGCAGCAACGCCGCGUGCGGGAUGACGGCCUUCGGGUUGUAAACCGCUUUCGCCUGUGACGAAGCGUGAGUGACGGUAAUGGGUAAAGAAGCACCGGCUAACUACGU
This 467-nucleotide ribosomal RNA is filed under the name uncultured bacterium. RNAcentral describes it as "partial 16S ribosomal RNA". It matches the Rfam family "Bacterial small subunit ribosomal RNA", at positions 28 to 506 of the family's 1533-position model. The record is from RNAcentral.